CCUACGGGUAGCAGCAGUGGGGGAUAUUGGACAAUGGGGGGAACCCUGAUCCAGCGACGCCGCGUGAGUGAAGAAGUAUCUCGGUAUGUAAAGCUCUAUCAGCAGGGAAGAAGAAAUGACGGUACCUGAGUAAGAAGCCCCGGCUAACUACGUGCCAGCAGCCGCGGUAAUACGUAGGGGGCAAGCGUUAUCCGGAAUUACUGGGUGUAAAGGGAGCGUAGACGGUGAUGUAAGUCUGGAGUGAAAGGCGGGGGCCCAAACCCCGGACCGCUCUGGAAACUAUGUGACUGGAGUGCAGGAGGGGUUAGCGGAAUUCCGAGUGGAGCCGUGAAAGGCGUAGAUAUUAGGAGGAACACCAGUGGCGAAGGCGGCUCACUGGACUGUAACUGACGGUGAGGCUCGAAAGCGUGGGGAGCAAACAGGAUUAGAGACCCUGGUAGUC
This 442-nucleotide ribosomal RNA is filed under the name uncultured bacterium. RNAcentral's name for it is "partial 16S ribosomal RNA". It matches the Rfam family "Bacterial small subunit ribosomal RNA", at positions 338 to 795 of the family's 1533-position model. The record is from RNAcentral.